GGUGGCUGAGGGUGGGCUUCUGGUGCCAGGCUGCCACCUGCUAGCUGUGCAGGCCCUGGGUCUGUGAUGUAACUUCUAUAGGCCUCAGUUUCCCUGUGUGCGAGACUCAGGCCAUCAUAAUAGCUCCCUUACAGGUGUCCAAGGAGAUAAAGUGAAGCCAGGAUGUGAAACGUUCAAACAGUGUCAGGGACUUAAUGAGCCCUCAGUAGAUGUGCUUCAGGCCGAGGGAUCCUUUGAAGACCCUUUCUCCACAUAACUUAAGGGGGGGAUACCUGGACAGCUUUUCAAAAUUUGCCCUUCACAACCACAGAGCUGGAGUUUAGAGACCCAUCAGCCUAGGACUGCACACAGUGUGAUCGGCGGAUCGAUCCUGGGAUGAUGUGGUCGGUCAUCGGUUUGUGUCGGCACAGUACUCAUGGAUUAUCCAAUGGAAUACGUUUUUGAAUACUCAGCAAGGGGUGUGAUGAUGACAUGGAGUCAGCAUGAGCAAAGCAGUCCCUCACCGGACUGCAGGCUCUGUACAGGGAAGCAUCAUUUUGUUGUAUGCACCAUUGUAGUUCCAGCCCCAGGAAAGCACUUCUCACUUGAAUACAUUCAUCAAAUCUUUUGAAAGAAUGAAUAAAACAAAUUAGGGCAAUGCAAACUAAUAUCAAUUCCUGUUUUGAUGUUUAUGUUACCAAUUAGGGAGACUACUGGAAUCCACCCAUAAAGUAUACCUGGAUUUCAGCAAGAUAUUAAUCAUUUUGUACAUGAUAUCUUUUAGGGGAAGAUGAGUAUGUGUUAGGUCACAGCUUAGUUACUUUAGAACCUGACCAGUGGUCACUCCAAAAAUACCUGUUGAAAAAAAAAAAAGAAGCCUCUGGAGAGUAGCUGCAUGGCAUGUUGUGGUGCUUCUACUUAAAUCUUCUUCAUUAAGAUGAAUGAAGACAUUCAUAAAUUAGGUGACAGCAGACUUACAGUUCAUACAGAACACAAGGGGCUGAUGGAGUAGAUAGAUUAUAAAAGGAUGAAAUAUUGAAAGAAUAAUGCAAAUGCUUAUUAGCAUCUAGAUUCAAAAAGAAUGGAUUAUUUUAAGAUUUGCGUGGAAUCAGAAAAGACCCCGAAUAGCCAGGGGAAUUUUAAAAAAGAAAACCAUAUCUGGGGGCAUCACAAUGCCA
Long non-coding RNA from Canis lupus familiaris (dog), 1157 nucleotides. RefSeq lists it as uncharacterized. The record is from RefSeq and is a predicted model, not a curated record. The transcript has 3 exons. NCBI's taxonomy places the organism in Eukaryota, Metazoa, Chordata, Mammalia, Carnivora, Canidae.